RNAcentral lists this ribosomal RNA (221 nucleotides) under uncultured bacterium. RNAcentral describes it as "partial 16S ribosomal RNA". It matches the Rfam family "Bacterial small subunit ribosomal RNA", at positions 524 to 744 of the family's 1533-position model. The record is from RNAcentral.
UACGUAGGGCGCAAGCGUUGUCCGGAAUUAUUGGGCGUAAAGAGCUCGUAGGCGGUUUGUCGCGUCUGCUGUGAAAACCUAAGGCUCAACCUUGGGCUUGCAGUGGGUACGGGCAGACUAGAGUGCGGUAGGGGUGACUGGAAUUCCUGGUGUAGCGGUGAAAUGCGCAGAUAUCAGGAGGAACACCGGUGGCGAAGGCGGGUCUCUGGGCCACUACUGAC